This 482-nucleotide ribosomal RNA is filed under the name uncultured bacterium. Its description in RNAcentral is "partial 16S ribosomal RNA". It matches the Rfam family "Bacterial small subunit ribosomal RNA", at positions 30 to 507 of the family's 1533-position model. The record is from RNAcentral.
AUUGAACGCUGGCGGCAUGCUUUACACAUGCAAGUCGAACGGUAACAGGCCGCAAGGUGCUGACGAGUGGCGCACGGGUGCGUAAUGCAUCGGAACGUGCCCACUCGUGGUGGAUAACUACUCUCAGGAGUAGCUAAUACCGCAUACGAUCUAUGUAUGAAAGCGGGGGACCGUCAGGCCUCGCGCGAUUUGAGCGGCCGAUGUCAGAUUAGUUAGGUGGUGGGGUAAAGGCUCACCAAGCCAACGAUCUGUAGCUGGUCUGAGAGGACGACCAGCCACACUGGGACUGAGACACGGCCCAGACUCCUACGGGAGGCAGCAGUGGGGAAUUUUGGACAAUGGGCGCAAGCCUGAUCCAGCAAUGCCGCGUGCAGGAGGAAGGCCUUCGGGUUGUAAAAUGCUUUUGUAAGGAACGAAACGGCUCUGGUUAAUACCCGGGGCUAAUGACGGUACCGUAAGAAUAAGCACCGGCUAACUACGUG